UCACGGCCCAGGAAUGCCAGGAAUGUGGGGCGGCCGCUGCGGCCGCGGGCCCGGAGACGUCGGGGACUUGACUUGGGAUUUCUUCUCUUCUUCUUCUUCUUUUUUUCUUCUUUUUUUUUUCUUUUACUAUUCCUUCCCCCGCCACCCCUGCUCGCGAAAGAGGAGGGAUGAAACCCACCCAAAGGAGGAGGGAAAAGGAGGGAGGAAGAGGAGGGCACAGGCUCCUGCCAAUCCGGGCGGGUGCCUGGUGCAACUCUCACAAGGAGGGCAGAGCCGCCGAGUUUGGGGCAGAGCCGGGCUGCCUCCCCGUCCCGUCCCGUCCCGUCCCGUCUCCCCCCCGUCUCCCCCCCGCCCUUGCCGCUGGUGGAAGCCGCCCGCGAGCCCUCCCCUUCCCCGCCCGCGGGGGGCGAGCCCGGCGCCGGGCGGGCGAGGCGGGGAAGGGGGCGCGGGAGUGGCCCCAGAGCGGAGGGGAGACACCCCAGCAAUGCGGGCGGUGGGGAGGAGCCGGGGGAGAGGGCCCUCGCGCCCCCUGCUUUCCCCCUCCUCGCCGCGCUGGCAGGGUGCCGCCCCGCUUCCCCACUCGCCCUCUCCUGCCCCUGCAGAAGUGCCCUGCUAAUCCCUCUCGGUCUUGCAUCAGAACAUCUUUUCUGCUCCUGCCUUCCCUUUCUUCAGCCCCCUUUUCUCCAGCUUUUGGCAUUUCAGCUGUUUUCGCCUCUCGCUCAUGGUGUCAUCCUCAUUUCUUAAAGGAUGGGCAUCUCUCCUUGUCCAGCUGCGUGUUGGGCUGCUGUGGGAGAUGUUCAGGAGAAAGACUCGGGGUGCUGCAGUCAUCGUGUGGCAGGUGCCUCGCUGGAGAAGGAGCAGGAGAAAACUCAAAGUUGCUUUGAAAUGUGGUGGCUGGCAACUGUAUGAAAUUUCCAGGGCACGUGGUGCGUGGCAGAUGUGGAAAGGCCCUUCUGAUGGCUGCUUUAAGAAAGAGAAGGGGCCUGGGGCACCCCACGCUGUAGGAAGUAAGGAGAACCAUCAGGAAGGCCGGAACUACCUAGAGAAGAAAAAUGAAUCAGACAAGACCAGUCUCUCUGCAUUUGAGGAAAACUUGUUCAAUGACCAUAAGUGCAGAUGAAAUAAUGUUGCAAGAAGAAGCAUAAGCAUGCUGAUUGAUAAAGUUUUUAGAGGGGAACUUCUCUAUAGUUGCUACCCCCGGCACAGUUCCCUAGAAGAAGUAAAAACAGACUACUUGUCAGCAAGAGCUUUUGCAAAAAGGUAAGCUGAACAACUUUUGCAAAAAGGUAAGCAGAACAAAAUCUGCAAAAUGAAAUAUAUUUCAAACUAAUCCAAACAAGGGACAUGUCUGAAAUUGGGAAUGGUGAAGAUUACUUAUUCAUGAGAAUCCUUAAUACAAUGAUUAAUAUCCGUAUUAGACUCUUAGAAACUGCAGCAAUAGGUGCUUUAGAAAUACAGAGCUUCACAGAGAUCAUAGCCAGUUACUGCAGUGUCUUCCAUGAGGAAAUCUGUUGUGUUGGUGGUACUUCCACUAAGACUGGUGAAACCUUGCACCUUUAGAUAUAUCUUUGUUCCCACAGAGCUGCUAGGAUUAUAGGACCCUGAGAUUAAAACCAAGAGUUCCUACCUGCUUCUUGGGGUGUGAUUUCAUAAUAUACAAAAGAUGUAUUAGAGGUUCCUAGGGGUGUUUCAAAAAUGUGGUGUUAAAAUGAUACAAAUCAUUGGUUUGAUUCCAAACCUCUGUGCUGGUUCAAAUUUGUCCAGAAAACUUUAAUAUUCUUUCAGUAAUAUGUGGGCUGGAUUUAUGCAUUAUCUUUCUAUUCCACUAGGGAGUCACGUUACAACUUUUUUUUGCUGAAAAGUAACAAUUCUACAUAAUGUUUAGAGACGUUAAUGACUUGCUAUAAUGAUUUGUGGAAUUUAACUCUAAAAUAUUCCCUCUGCACUGGUAUGAAUUAUUUUUUUAUUAGCUCCUUCUGCAACUCCAUCAGGAUUAUUACAUUAAGAUGCUCUAUGGAGGAGUAGCAUAGACCAGAAUUAAAUGAUUGACAUAGGAUUGUACCUCAGUUACCUUAGCUGCUGGUCUUUGGUGUGUCUUGGGCAAGUAGCAGCACAUCUCUGUGCCUCAGUUUUCUUCUCUGAAAACUGAGAUAAUGAUAAUCGUCUUAGUAAGGUGCUUUUUGAUUUAAAGAUGAAAGCACUGCAUAGGAGCUAGAUGCUAUUUAAAAAAAAUUCCCAAAUCAUGGAUUAGACAGACUUGAAUAUUGUCUUAAAAACCUCAUGAAAAUAAAAGCCCAACACCAUUCAGGCUGACCAAAUGCUUAAUAUUAGUAGAGGAAUACUGAUUUUAUCUGGGUGAAAAUACAGCAGACUUUUAAUGCAUUAUCUGAAGAGCCAAGUGCAAUAAAUUUUGACGUAUCUUGGGACCUUGCUUGUAAGACUUGUAUUAAACAUAUUUUGAGUGUGUUUAAACCUAGGCAACUGCAGUUUUAGAGUCUUGUCAUAACAUGGAAAAAUCUCAGUCCUUGUUGGUUGGUAAAACCAUGUCAUAACCUGUAUUGAAUAAAACUGUCUUUAAACUCUGCUUAAGCAACAGCUGGUGGUUUCUUCUGUGAAUAGUAGAUGAUGUUUAAUUAGCCUUACAGUCAUCUACAUUACAAUCAAAUCAAAGAAUGCAGUUGCAACACAUUCCCGAUUUGUAUUGUAAAUGUGACCCUAACUGUGUUCCUAAAAUCUCUGUCAUGUGCUACAGCUGGGUACACUGACCUGAUUGUAAUGUAAGCAAAAACUUGAUGCAGUAGCAGGAAUUCCCAUUUCUAAAAUCAAUUUGUUCUUUAUAAAUUGGUACUUCUAAUGGUCGCAGCUUACCACAAGCGAGAAAAAGUUUACUUCUGUAGUAUUCUGUGUUCUCAUUAAUUAUUUCAUUUAAUAGUGCUUUUCAAAAUCGUCUCUUAGAAAAGGAAUUUGGAUUACACAAUCUUGGAAAACAAACCUGUUGCCACCAAGCAUGAGCUAACAUGUUAUAGUACUCUACAGCUUAUCAUAAGUAAGCCAGCACCCAGUCUUGUAGACCAGAAAAACUCUUGGGUGAUUAACUGUGCAAAUAAACUAUGCUGUGUUGAAUAUUCUAGUUUGCUUAGACUUACAUUCUGCCUGAGGACUCACUGAGUAGAUGAGCCUCUUGUCUUCUGUAAGAGUUAAGAUCACAAACUUUUUAUUAUUUGUGAGUAUAAUGGUGAACUUUUGAUUCCACAGUUGUAAGCGCUCAAAAUGUGCUUUUAAUAGCAAUAUACCUCUGUAUGUAACUGUUACUGCUAUCCAAGCUAGAAUAGUCAAAAUUUUAGGACAAGACAGAAUCAUGUUUUGCCAUUUUCUUAGGUUAACAAUUAGAGUAUUUUUAAAUGUAUCAUUUAGCACAAUUAUUAAGUUUAUUACCCUAAUCCUAGAUUAGCUAAAUUAACUUCUGUUAAAAGCUAGUGAAUUUUUUGUUCAAGAAAUCAAUGUUUUGCGAAAUCUGAAGAGCUAGGUUCAUAAUUUGCUGUUCAGUGAUAUAGAUACAUUAUGUAUCUGUGUAUACCAUCUGCCUGAAUGACAGGGUAGCAAGUCUACAGCACAUAUAAGUAAAAGCAACUUCAGUUUCAAAAAUUCUCAAGCUGUAGCUUUAAGGACCCAGUUCGUCAAAGUAAUUUAUUACAAGUUUAGCUUUUAGCCUGUGCUUCAAUUCUCCUUGAGCCAACGUGACUUAACAGCAUGCCUGCAAGUCAGCAUGCACUACUGAUUUGUAGACAUUUUAGCUGCUCCUCACUUCUGAUGAUCAUAAUCUUUAUUUAUGUGUCUCGGCAUGGAUUUAGGUGUCUGACUUUGGGCACCCAGGUUUGAAAAUAUUUCAUUGCCACUCAGAGAUGAAUGGUUUCUUGAGAAAACAAAGAGCUAAUGUCAUAAUCUAACAUUUGUUUUUGUGACUGUCACAAACUUGUGUAACUUGAACAGAGUGUAUAAAGUUUGCUUAUCUGUGAAAUGGGCAUAAUACCAUACUUGGAUAAAUAAGUACUGUAAAACUCCACAAUUUUAAUACUUUCUGAAAUCAACAAAUGAAGGCCUCUAUAAAUGAAUAAAGCCUUAGCAAUAUGUAUGUCA
Molecule: long non-coding RNA, 4137 nt
Organism: Dromaius novaehollandiae (emu)
Lineage: Eukaryota; Metazoa; Chordata; Aves; Casuariiformes; Dromaiidae
Exons: 2
Source: RefSeq, a predicted model, not a curated record